GCCAGGAGUGAGAGGAAGGUCAGCAGGC
Molecule: non-coding RNA, 28 nt
Filed under: Homo sapiens (human)
Lineage: Eukaryota; Metazoa; Chordata; Mammalia; Primates; Hominidae
Source: RNAcentral